This 91-nucleotide microRNA precursor is filed under the name Spodoptera frugiperda (fall armyworm). RNAcentral describes it as "microRNA sfr-mir-10474 precursor". The record is from miRBase by way of RNAcentral. Lineage: Eukaryota; Metazoa; Arthropoda; Insecta; Lepidoptera; Noctuidae.
UAACGCGGAAUUAGAUUGUGAUCUUUUUUAUGUUGAUAGAUUAACGUAUGAAGAGUAUACUAUAUAUAUAUCUCAAUCUAAUAUGGCGUUA